UCGAAGAGAUUAGUGAAUUGACCAAGGUCUCAUGUCUGAUUAAAAAGUAAGGGAUGGCUUUACAUUUAGGCCUUCCCACUCUGAAACUUCCGGGCUUAUCCAGGCACCAGCCUACCUGGUUACAGAUGAACACUGUGGUCACCCCCAGCGGAGGGGACCGUUUCCCUUUGGCAUUAGGUGUGCACUUGAGAGAAAAAAAGGGUCCCUGGCAGUCUUUGCUGUGACCUGGCUGGGACCUCCUGGCAGAUCUAGAAACUUGAAGAAGGGUGGUCAUAGGAUUGGACAAAGAGAGAUGGGGUCAAAGAAAGAGAAAGAGAGGCCAGAAACUGCCACAGCAUGACGUUGUGAGACAGUGCAGUCCUGGCGGAAGGGUGUGCUUUGAUACCAGGUCUCCUGUUCUCCUUGACUGUGUUAUGAAUGUGAUUCCAACUUUAUAGAACUUUGUCUCAUUUAUCACUUUCUCGAAGUGACUCCAGAUUUGACUAACACCCAGACUUUUUUGGUUGGGUUUCUCUUCGGGCAAAGUUUGUUGAAGGAAGGGGAGCAAGGAGAAAUCGCAAAAAAUGAUUUUAGUAUAUUACAGUCCCCUGCUUGGUUAACAUAUUAAAGACUCUGGGAAGUCCUGCUGUUCAAACCAAACCAAACACACAGUAUACCUUUACUUAACCCAGUGCUUGCCAGAUUUGUUUGAUAAUCCUUUUUUUUCCCUACAAAAGACUCGCAAAUAUACUUAAGUGUUGUUUUCUGGAAAACACCUUUGUGACAGAUUCAGAUCCUCUGUGCAAAAACAGAGGAAGUGGUUCAGUUCCUAAGAUCUCAGACCUGAUUUCAUUAUUGACUUUCUGUGAUUCUUUGCUGAGGUUAUUUGGCUUUUUUGGGGCCUCAGGAUGAGGCCCCUGUUGUUGUGACAAUUUGACAUUUUCUGAGUGUUUAUUCUCUGCUAUCCCUGCUAAAUUCGCGAUUCACCUCCUGUCAACUUCCCGGUGAUGCAGUGCAGGAGGUGCUAGUGUCCACAUUUUCUAACCUAGGAGACAGAGGUUUAAGAGAAGUGAAACCAUUAGGCCUUCAGGCAUCUGGUUUCUUAAGCCACAGUUUCUUACACGGCCUGUAAUGGUUUGGUAAUAUUUUAAAGUGUUAAACACGAGCAUUAUUAGUAAGUUAGAGGAAUUUCCCCAAGAGUAUCUGAGUACAGUUACUUUUAAAUUCCAGGUACCCAUGUCUUCUAUUGAAACCUGGCUGUGAGGCUUUUUCUGUUUGAGAAGUCUCUGCAUAGCCCACCACUAUUGAUGGAACUGGUGGAAUCUCCGGGAGGGACACCCACCUGACUACCUCGUCACGUCUUCCAGACCUCAUUACUCUGAGGAUGGCACACAAAGCAGCAGCACUGGUGUCACCUGGGAACUUGUUGGAGAUGCAGAGACCACGCCUACUCCCACCUGCUGGUUCAGAAUCUGCGCUCUAACAGGAAGCUCGAGUGAUUCCUGUGCAUGAUCAGGGGACGAGACAGCACCGCGGCCCCCAGGGAGUCUGCAUUCCAGAGGGCAAGAAGACAGCAUGCGAAUGAGUUGUCAAGACCGUGCCAGAUGGAAGGCUCUGUGAUGUCUGGUUUACUAAGAUAUUCCCUAAAAGAGUUGGAGAAACACUCAAAUUGAUGUGUGAUCUCUGCUUGGCCAAAUACAGUAAUACUAAAUGUCAGACGAGGAGAUACGGAAAAUCAACAGAACGCUGGUGCAUGGGCAACAGUCACCUCCACCGUGUGCUGCUCAUCGCCGAGGGCUAAAAGACUAGUACUGGCCAUUAUACACACUCUUAAUCAGAAGUGUAAAGCACGCACGUACUCAGCAGAAGGAAGUGGCCAAAGGAGACUGUCCCCUGUCACGGAGCGUAGAUGCCGGCGGAGCCUCAGACCUGCAGCUAGAGCCGUUUGAGACUCACGCCUGAGUACGCAGCGAGUUUGGUGACGCGACCGUCGAUCUGCUUCAGCAUUAAAAAUACCGACGCGUCAUCUGAUGCUGAGGCUCUCAGAGACGGCAACGUGUCCGUGGGGCGGCCGCGCUGGCCCCCCUUUGUGCGGUGUUCGUUCCGCGCCCAGGCACCUGCGGCCGUGCAGAGAGGCUGCUCACAGAGUGCUCGUUGCUCAUCUUGGCGGACCUCUACCCAGGUUUAAUUCCAAUUAUUUAAAAAGGGAAUGGAUUUCAGAGCAUCCACGUCCGGUAAUCAUCUAAACAUAAGGAAAGAGAGAACUGGGGACGUGCAGAGGGGAGGAGCCCCAGGUAAAGCGGGUGUCAGGAUAGGAGCUGAUGUUCUUUGAGGCAGCUGGGGGAGAUGCACAGUAUAUGGGCGAGAGGACAGGACACAGGCUGUCAGUUCAGUUGGCCGUGGCCGUAUGUGGGCCACCCAUCGGACUCCUUCACUUCCUCCACUCCACUUGGGGCAGAAGGGCCUUCUUCAUGCCCCCCUCCCAAACUCGUUCCUGCCCCAGGACCUUUGCACAUGAUAAUCCUGCUGCCUGGAAUGUGUUUCCCUCACUUGCCUCCACUCAUUCAGGUUGUGGUUCAAAUAUGACCUUCUCAGGCUGCCUUCUCUGACCACCCUAUCCGAACUAGCAGCCCCCACGCACAUCUUUUCCUUCUCGUCCCUUCUUCCGCCUCUUUCUUCUGCUUUCUUCCUAGAAAUGACCUCUGUGUAGUUGUAUGUUGUUGAGCAACAGGGACGCAUUCUAAGAAAUGCGUUGUUAGGUGAUUUCAUCAUUAUGUGUCCUUACACGAACCUAACUGGCAGAGCCCACUGCACACCUAGCCUGCGUGGUCUAGCCCACUGCUCCUGGGCUGUACCCCUGUGUGGCACGUUCCUGUACUGAGUACGGUAGGCAGCUGUGACACACAGGUGUCUGUAUAUUUAAACAUCUAAACACAGAAAAGACACUGUGAAAAUACAGUAUGAUCUCAUGGGCUACAGUAUCUUACAGGAUCAUUGCCGUGUGUGCGUGCACUGUCCAUGGGACUGUCACUCUCUGGCACACGUCUGUCUUGUUGGAUUUAUGUAUUUGUUCGUAGCCUGUCUCUCCUCUCUGGAGUGCAGGCUCCCUGAGGAGGUGAACAGGACACCUCUGUCUUGUUCACUGCUGCCCCCCCUAAAGAGAACAGCGUCCGACACGUGCUCAUCUGGGUGGGUGACGCGGCGAUGUGUCCUGGGACCCUGCCCCCCAGCCGUGUGCCCUUGGGCUGCUUCCUUCACCUGUGGGAGCUUCAGUAGCCUCAUCGUAAAGCAGAAACAAGAGUUUUAGGAGCUAAAUGAUUACGUGCAUGAAACCCUCUUCACAUAAUGCUCAGUACACAUUAGCUUAAAAAGAGGCUUUUCUUUAGAAAAUCAAGGCGAAAGAGGUUGGGAAUGGGAUUCUUGCGUCUGUGGGGGGGGGGCAGCCGAGGUGGACGAGUCAGCAUCCCAGAGUCACAUAACACACCUGUAACCUGGGGUGGGUGGAGAUGUCCCCCGCCCCACGUGCGCGGCUUAGUGUUCCUUGGGUCAGGCCAGGGUUCUCCCACAGGGGGCGCUGUUGAGGGACGGGCAGUCGAGUGCGAUUAAGGAAGUGGAGGCAGGACUCAAAUGGCUGCUGGGUUCAAAUCCCAGUUCCCACCACUUGCUGGCGUGGGCGAGUAACGUCGCCUUACGGGCCUCAGUUUUCUUAUCUGUCAAAUGAACUUAAACAGCAUUUUCAUCCUCACAGGCUGUGGUGAGGAUUAAAUGGGGUCGCGUAGGGAGAGUCCUGAGCAAGGAGCCCGGCACAGCGACAGUUGCCACACACGUCGUUCCUCACGACUCUGAGUUAGGCUGUGUCUCCUUCAACACACACUUCGUCUCAGAGGCUGAGUUACAGUUAAUUGAGCCUGAAAGGCCACAGACUCGAAAAAGCCCUCAAAGUGAUACAGGUAAAAAGAAAAACGAAAUGGCAUCUCCCAUGCAUUGAGGGCUCUGCAGCAUGUGGCCCACCCCGUGCUCAGCACUCUACAGUGCGUGGCCAGCCCAGACUCAGCACUCUACACUGUGUGGCCAGCCCAGGCUCAGCUCUCUACAGUGUGUGGCCAACCCAGGCUCAGCUCUCUACAGUGUGUGGCCAGCCCGGGCUCAGCUCUCUACAGUGUGUGGCCCACCCCGUGCUCAGUACUCUACAGUGUGUGGCCAGCCCAGGCUCAGCACUCUACAGUGUGUGGCCAGCCUAGGCUCAGCACUCUACAGUGCGUGGCCAGCCCAGGCUCAGCACUCUACAGUGUGUGGCCCACACUGUGCUCAGCACUCUACAGUGCGUGGCCAGCCCGGGCUCAGCACUCUACAGUGUGUGGCCAGCCCGGGCUCAGCACUCUACAGUGUGUGGCCCACCCUGUGCUCAGCACUCUAUAGUGUGAGGCCAGCCCGGGCUCAGCACUCUAUAGUGUGUGGCCAACCCAGGCUCAGCACUCUACAGUGCGUGGCCAGCCCAGACUCAGCACUCUACACUGUGUGGCCAGCCCAGGCUCAGCACUCUACAGUGUGUGGCCAGCCCAAGCUCAGCACUCUACAAUGUGUGGCCAGCCCAGGCUCAGCACUCUACAGUGUAUGGCCAGCCCAGGCUCAGCACUCUACAGUGUGUGGCCAGCCCAGGCUCAGCUCUCUACAGUGUGUGGCCAGCAUUGCCUCAGCAUUCCAUAGUCAUCAUCUUCUUAUCAUGAACUUAAUGGUCACUUAAUGAGGUAGACCUUGCCCAUGGCUUGAAUUGAUUUAAGAAACUCCACUAUCAUACUGUCUUCACCUGCCAACCAAAGCACAUCCACUUUCUGGAACCUUCUGACGGCCAGGCCAAGUUGCCCAGCCACCAGAUCCUUUCAGAGUUUGGCAGUAGCCAGCCCAGCAAUCAUUGACAAGGUGGCUGUUUGCCAGGUCUACCCCGGCACAGGCGUGGGACAGAGCCCUUUCGUGCACGAGCAGAAUUUGCAGAGGUGCAGGGCCACGCUGACACGCCCCGCAUCCCCUGCCAGGCCCACUGGCUAAUUUUGGUCCUGGAAGGUCCAGGAUGAAGGCCUGUGGAGGCCCCAGCUCACCGAGUCUUCCUGUAAGUUUCGGCUCCAGAAGCCACCUUGGAGAACCGUGGUUGUCUCCCUCCAUCUCCCCGGUGCCCCCCAGAUGAGCGCCCCCACUCCGUACCUGCUAUCACAAAGACAAGAAGGGCCAUUCAUAAUUUAAGUCGGCCCUUUCUUUCCUACACGCUACCAACAUGAGUCGGGUGCUGGAGGAAAAAUUGAACUCUCUCUCCCAGGAUACACUGAAGAUCAAGCAGAAUCUCAUUAAGGCUCACUUCAAAGAUUCGUCCUUUAUUUCCAUACAAACAAGUUUAAAUUAUCGUGCGUGAAUCUGCUGUUAGCAGGGACUCUGUUCCAUUAUGCAUGAUUCCUCACUGCUCUAUCAUGAAUAAUGGGCAGUGCUCCAUUAGUGAUUUCCAGUAAUAUGCUAAACUUCGGGAGUGGUCACGUUAUUAGGUUAAAGUUCUGUAGUUUGCAUAUUUAUUUUAUUUCUUACUCAAGCUAUAAUGCUCUGGUUCAUCAAAAUAGGUAUUGCAAUCUUGUUGUAAUUAACAUAGCAUAACACAUGCUGUAGCUAUGAUUUCUUUAUUAUUAUCCAAUAUUUAUUGAGCAUUUACUAUGAGCAAGGGGUAGGGCUCGGUGCAUGCCAUGCCUUGCAUGCAUAAUAUUAUUUAAUCUUCACUAGAACCCCAUGAAAUAUUAUUAUUAUUAUUAUUGCCACUUUACAGGUGAAAAACCUGAUAAUUAGGUAGCUAUCUAGAUUGCCCAUGGAUACAACCUAUAAUAAUUGGUA
Microcebus murinus (gray mouse lemur) is the source of this 5847-nucleotide non-coding RNA. The record is from RefSeq and is a predicted model, not a curated record. Lineage: Eukaryota; Metazoa; Chordata; Mammalia; Primates; Cheirogaleidae.